UAGGGAAUCUUCGGCAAUGGACGAAAGUCUGACCGAGCAACGCCGCGUGAGUGAAGAAGGUUUUCGGAUCGUAAAACUCUGUUGUUAGAGAAGAACAAGGACGUUAGUAACUGAACGUCCCCUGACGGUAUCUAACCAGAAAGCCACGGCUAACUACGUGCCAGCAGCCGCGGUAAUACGUAGGUGGCAAGCGUUGUCCGGAUUUAUUGGGCGUAAAGCGAGCGCAGGCGGUUUCUUAAGUCUGAUGUGAAAGCCCCCGGCUCAACCGGGGAGGGUCAUUGGAAGCUGGGAGACUUGAGUGCAGAAGAGGGGAGUGGAACUCCAUGUGUAGCGGUGAAAUGCGUAGGUAUAUGGAGGAACGCCAGUGGCGAAGGCGGCUCUCUGGUCUGUAGCUGACGCUGAGGCUCGAAAGCGUGGGGAGCAAACAGG
RNAcentral lists this ribosomal RNA (429 nucleotides) under Gemmatimonadota bacterium. RNAcentral's name for it is "Gemmatimonadetes bacterium partial 16S ribosomal RNA". It matches the Rfam family "Bacterial small subunit ribosomal RNA", at positions 355 to 776 of the family's 1533-position model. The record is from RNAcentral. Lineage: Bacteria; Pseudomonadati; Gemmatimonadota.